RNAcentral lists this ribosomal RNA (751 nucleotides) under uncultured Haloarcula sp. Its description in RNAcentral is "bacterial SSU rRNA". It matches the Rfam family "Archaeal small subunit ribosomal RNA", at positions 53 to 805 of the family's 1478-position model. Lineage: Archaea; Methanobacteriati; Methanobacteriota; Halobacteria; Halobacteriales; Haloarculaceae. The record is from RNAcentral.
GCUAGUUGUGCGGGUUCAGGCCCGCAGCGGAAAGCUCAGAAACACGUGGCCAAGCUACCCUGUGGAUGGGAACAAUCUCGGGAAACUGAGGCUAAUUCCCAAUAACGCUCGACCCCUGGAACGGGUCGAGCCGGAAACGCUCCGGCGCCACAGGAUGCGGCUGCGGCCGAUUAGGUAGACGGUGGGGUAACGGCCCACCGUGCCCAUAAUCGGUACGGGUUGUGAGAGCAAGAGCCUGGAGACGGUAUCUGAGACAAGAUACCGGGCCCUACGGGGCGCAGCAGGCGCGAAACCUUUACACUGCACGAGAGUGCGAUAGGGGGACUCCGAGUGCGAGGGCAUAUAGUCCUCGCUUUUCUGUACCGUAAGGUGGUACAGGAACAAGGACUGGGCAAGACCGGUGCCAGCCGCCGCGGUAAUACCGGCAGUCCAAGUGAUGGCCGAUAUUAUUGGGCCUAAAGCGUCCGUAGCCUGCUGUGUAAGUCCAUUGGGAAAUCGGCCAGCUCAACUGGCCGGCGUCCGGUGGAAACUACACAGCUUGGGGCCGAGAGACUCGACGGGUACGUCCGGGGUAGGAGUGAAAUCCCGUAAUCCUGGACGGACCACCAAUGGCGAAAGCACGUCGAGAGACCGGACCCGACGGUGAGGGACGAAAGCCAGGGUCUCGAACCGGAUUAGAUACCCGGGUAGUCCUGGCUGUAAACAAUGCUCGCUAGGUAUGUCACGCACCAUGAGUGCGUGAUGUGCCGUA